UCUCCGUUGGUGAACCAGCGGAGGGAUCAUUACAGAGUUGCAAAACUCCCAAACCAUUGUGAACGUUACCUAUCCCGUUGCUUCGGCGGGCGGCCCGGGCCCCGCGCCCGGCGCCCCCCGGCCCCCCGUGGGCGCCCGCCGGAGGUAAACCAAACCCUUGCACUGCAUGGCCUCUCUGCGUCUUCUGUACUGAAUAAGUCAAAACUUUCAACAACGGAUCUCUUGGUUCUG
RNAcentral lists this unclassified non-coding RNA (231 nucleotides) under plant metagenome. Its description in RNAcentral is "partial contains small subunit ribosomal RNA, internal transcribed spacer 1, and 5.8S ribosomal RNA". The record is from RNAcentral.